UAAUGUCGGGAACUCCAGGGAGACUGCCGGUGAUAAACCGGAGGAAGGUGGGGACGACGUCAAGUCAUCAUGGCCCUUACGAGUAGGGCUACACACGUGCUACAAUGGCAUAUACAGAGGGCAGCGAGGCAGCGAUGUGGAGCGAAUCCCAGAAAGUAUGUCGUAGUCCGGAUUGGAGUCUGCAACUCGACUCCAUGAAGUCGGAAUCGCUAGUAAUCGUAGAUCAGAAUGCUACGGUGAAUACGUUCCCGGGCCUUGUACACACCG
Molecule: ribosomal RNA, 267 nt
Filed under: Vibrio sp. HR11-38
Lineage: Bacteria; Pseudomonadati; Pseudomonadota; Gammaproteobacteria; Vibrionales; Vibrionaceae
Description: partial 16S ribosomal RNA
Rfam family: Bacterial small subunit ribosomal RNA
Source: RNAcentral